GCCGCUGCUUCUCCACCCAGCCCUGAACGUGGGAACGUUCCGGGCCUUUCUGCCACCUCUUCCUCCCGCCUGCAGGCAGGGUCAGAGCCUCACCUGAGGGGACGUUCGGGCAGCACCCCGGUCCACGCCAUCCUCGGGGGCCUCCAGCCGAGCCUCGGCGGCCCCUGGCUGGACCUGUCAGCCCCGCACGUCCGACAGCAAAUUCUGCAGCCUUGUCCAUUUCUGACGAUGGUUACCUUAUCGACGUAAACUCACAGACCUAAAACGGGGCUUUGAAACAAUGGUCUAUACGCUGCUUACAGCAGGGUCCGCUGGAAUUGCUUACUGAAAGUGGUUUUGCCCAGCCCGGCGCGCCCUCCCGCCAGCAGCGGGACUCGGCUUCCCCGCCCUCGCCCAGACCGCCGCCCGGCCCGGGUCAGCCUCUCCAGACCGGCCGCUGGGCGGCCCCUGCCCACCCCCGAGAGGCGCUGGGGAGCCUCGGGACAGGGCGGGGGAGGCCGGGGAGGCUGCCCGGGGGUGGCGGCCGACAGCGGAGGGAAGCGUGCGAGCCCCCGGGGCCUCCCGGCUCGACAGCGUCCCCGUGGUCCGGGGCUAUCAGCAGGGCUGUCCCGGGGAGACAGAGCGGGAAGGAGCCCGAAGGAGGAGAGUGCGCGUCUCCUCCCCUCGCUGGCCGGCUGCUCUGGGACCUGCUGGAUUUCCGGGNCGCAGUGUCGCCACCCCGAGGCCGAGCUCACUCAGGAGGCAGCUGGCUCCCUGCGGCCUCCACGCUGCGGGCAGGAGAACUAGGGGCGGAGGGGGGUCCGACCCCUGGGGUCCCAGAUGGUCUCGCCUGUAGGAUGCAGACACUCAGGGCUGCUGAGAAAGCGCGUGGGGUCUGUGUGUGUGAGGCCCCGGGACUCUCAGGAGCCCCUCCCAAUGGCUCCUGCUGCUGGGCGGGUCCCGGGGCUGUCCCGCCUGCAGCCUCUCCCUCUGGAGCUGCCGCCCCAGGGCGCUUCCCAGGGGCCGGGGCUCGGCUGGCCUGCGCUUCCCCACGACCUCCGCCCUGGCCGGCUCUGCGUCUGGGACCCUCUCCUCCUGCAGCCCUGCUGCCAGGGCCCUGGAGCGCGCUUCCUGCCCCGGAGCUGCCUGGCCGUCCCCUGCACCCUUGUCCCCCAGGCCUCACGGGGUGCCCGACAGGCCCUCCUCCCUGA
This 1190-nucleotide long non-coding RNA is filed under the name Capra hircus (goat). RNAcentral describes it as "lncRNA (ENSCHIG00010023674.1)". Lineage: Eukaryota; Metazoa; Chordata; Mammalia; Artiodactyla; Bovidae. The record is from RNAcentral.